GGACAAUACUUGGUACCUGUUGCUAGCGGGAGGUUGCGGGUAUCUCGGGUGCAAUUAGUCGAGGUGAGCAUAUGUUGGUUCGGACACCACGGUCAUAAAAAAAUAAGCUGAUUUUUAAUGGGAUGUUAAAGGAAGUCUUUGUUGCGUUUUAGUGGAUCUGUCUGGCUUGGCUAAAUGCCUCAGUUUUGGUGAACCAUAGAAGACCAUGUUACAUGAACUUGUAUUGGAUACGUUUCAUACUUUUCUAUGAGCAAUAUUUGUGUAUUAUGAAGAAUCCACACAAAUACCAGCUCCAUGUAGGCGGUAACAUAGCUGAAAAUGGGCAGGUCGAUUGAAAGCAAGAUAUGCUUGUGAUAACAUGCCAACUAACUAAUCAUAUGAAACCAAGAAGUCCCUCUGUUCCAAUUUUUGCUAUGUAGUUUGACUCAACACGGAGUUUAAGAAAAAAAUUAAAUACUUUUGAAACUUGUGGUCUUAAGCAUGCUAUAACAUUUGUGUUGCUAUAAAAGCUUUUCGUUAAGAGUAAAACGAGAAGCAAUUGUUUCGAAAUAUAGAAAUGUGUUUUGGUUUUGGAAUGAACUAGUAAGGUAAUAGUGUUACGAAAAUCUGAACCCUAUAUCACACUUUUGUUGAAUGCUUCUGAUUUGGGAGCAUGUUGAGGUCAUGUGAUUACAGAAGCUGUGCUACUCUGGUUGGAUGUCUAGGUAUUCUUUAAUGCCCGUUGUCUGCAUAUUUGAACUGGAAAAUGGUUGUUAGCUAUAGCAUCAUAUGCUUUAACAGUUACAGAUAUAGGAACACUUUCUCUAUUGA
Molecule: long non-coding RNA, 810 nt
Filed under: Nicotiana benthamiana
Lineage: Eukaryota; Viridiplantae; Streptophyta; Magnoliopsida; Solanales; Solanaceae
Description: long non-coding RNA (NBEN_LNC022238)
Source: RNAcentral